RNAcentral lists this ribosomal RNA (484 nucleotides) under uncultured bacterium. RNAcentral's name for it is "partial 16S ribosomal RNA". It matches the Rfam family "Bacterial small subunit ribosomal RNA", at positions 28 to 507 of the family's 1533-position model. The record is from RNAcentral.
AUUGAACGCUGGCGGCAUGCUUUACACAUGCAAGUCGAACGGCGGCGCGGGCUUCGGCCUGGCGGCGAGUGGCGAACGGGUGAGUAAUGCAUCGGAACGUGCCCAGUAGUGGGGGAUAGCCCGGCGAAAGCCGGAUUAAUACCGCAUACGACCUGAGGGUGAAAGCGGGGGACCGAAAGGCCUCGCGCUAUUGGAGCGGCCGAUGUCGGAUUAGCUAGUUGGUGGGGUAAAGGCUUACCAAGGCGACGAUCCGUAGCUGGUCUGAGAGGACGACCAGCCAACAUGGGAAUGAGGCACGGCCCAGACUCCUACGGGAGGGCGCCGUGGGGAAUUUUGGACAAUGGGGGCAACCCUGAUCCAGCCAUGCCGCGUGCGGGAAGAAGGCCUUCGGGUUGUAAAACCCUUUUGGUCGGGAAGAAAUCCUUUGGGCUAAUACCCCGGGGGGAUGACGGUACCGGAAGAAUAAGCACCGGCUAACUACGUG